ACUUUUUUAGUAUAAAAAAUAUAAUUGACUUCCAAUCAAUGGAUCUUACCUUAAGAAAAAGUA
This 63-nucleotide transfer RNA is filed under the name Physopelta quadriguttata. RNAcentral's name for it is "tRNA-Gly". Lineage: Eukaryota; Metazoa; Arthropoda; Insecta; Hemiptera; Largidae. The record is from RNAcentral.